UGGGUGUUUUCUGUUCCAGGAAGCAGGACUGCCAAGGGGUGGCCUUAAGGGGAAACAAUAGAAUCAGUUUGGUGGUGGGUGUUUUAUAGAAACAGUGUUGUGAAUUGAGUACCUUCUCUGUGCCAGACACUGGCCUGGAUAUUGGAAAUUCAGAGAUGACUCUCUCACCAUCCUUUCUCAAGGAUCUUACUACCCAGGAGGAGAAGAAUGACAGCUUUUCUCUCAUGGCUUUAACCUUGUUAGCUGUCCAUUAAUUUAUGGGAUUCAACUCGGUGGAAUGGCAGAUAGCUCCUCAGCCAGCCGUGACUGCAGGAGCUCGCCUCUGUGGGGCCCACGGGAGGCCUGCAGCCAGGCGCGCCUGAUCCGAUGAUCCCGGCCGAGGCGGUGACCGCAAACACUGAUGUGUGUGCACAGACAUGAUCUGAGAGUUUUAAGUUAAAAAAAAAAUUAAAAAUUUACAAAACCAUACAAUUAUUUGGCCGAGCUAUCCUGUCCCCCAUCUAAUACAAUAAAUUAAAAUGUUUACA
This is a long non-coding RNA of Manis pentadactyla (Chinese pangolin), 527 nucleotides long. RefSeq lists it as uncharacterized. The transcript is spliced from 2 exons. Lineage: Eukaryota; Metazoa; Chordata; Mammalia; Pholidota; Manidae. The record is from RefSeq and is a predicted model, not a curated record.